This 433-nucleotide ribosomal RNA is filed under the name uncultured bacterium. RNAcentral's name for it is "partial 16S ribosomal RNA". It matches the Rfam family "Bacterial small subunit ribosomal RNA", at positions 29 to 507 of the family's 1533-position model. The record is from RNAcentral.
AACGAACGCUGGCGGCAUGCCUAACACAUGCAAGUCGAACGAGACCUUCGGGUCUAGUGGCGCACGGGUGCGUAACGCGUGGGAACCUGCCCUUAGGUUCGGAAUAACUCCCCGAAAGGGGUGCUAAUACCGGAUAAUGUCUCCGGACCAAAGAUUUAUCGCCUUUGGAUGGGCCCGCGUUGGAUUAGCUAGUUGGUAAGGUAAAGGCUAACCAAGGCGACGAUCCUUAGCUGGUCUGAGAGGAUGAUCAGCCACACUGGGACUGAGACACGGCCCAGACUCCUACGGGAGGCAGCAGUGGGGAAUAUUGGACAAUGGGCGAAAGCCUGAUCCAGCAAUGCCGCGUGAGUGAUGAAGGCCUUAGGGUUGUAAAGCUCUUUUACCCGGGAUGAUAAUGACAGUACCGGGAGAAUAAGCCCCGGCUAACUCCGUG